RNAcentral lists this ribosomal RNA (468 nucleotides) under uncultured bacterium. RNAcentral's name for it is "partial 16S ribosomal RNA". It matches the Rfam family "Bacterial small subunit ribosomal RNA", at positions 28 to 507 of the family's 1533-position model. The record is from RNAcentral.
GACGAACGCUGGCGGCGUGCUUAAUACAUGCAAGUCGAACGGAAAGGCCCUGCUUUUGUGGGGUGCUCGAGUGGCGAACGGGUGAGUAACACGUGAGUAACCUGCCCUUGACUUUGGGAUAACUUCAGGAAACUGGGGCUAAUACCGGAUAGGAGCUCCUGCUGCAUGGUGGGGGUUGGAAAGUUUCGGCGGUUGGGGAUGGACUCGCGGCUUAUCAGCUUGUUGGUGGGGUAGUGGCUUACCAAGGCUUUGACGGGUAGCCGGCCUGAGAGGGUGACCGGCCACAUUGGGCCUGAGAUACGGCCCAGACUCCUACGGGAGGCAGCAGUGGGGAAUAUUGCACAAUGGGCGGAAGCCUGAUGCAGCAACGCCGCGUGCGGGAUGACGGCCUUCGGGUUGUAAACCGCUUUCGCCUGUGACGAAGCGUGAGUGACGGUAAUGGGUAAAGAAGCACCGGCUAACUACGUG